Molecule: long non-coding RNA, 434 nt
Organism: Impatiens glandulifera
Lineage: Eukaryota; Viridiplantae; Streptophyta; Magnoliopsida; Ericales; Balsaminaceae
Exons: 2
Source: RefSeq, a predicted model, not a curated record
GCGACAAAAGAGGACAGUUAUGAAGCUGGUAGUUGAUGCUGAGACAUAUAAAGUUAUUGCCUUAUUGAAGCAUCAAUGUGCGGGCCAGAUGCCUCUCAGAUCAUGCGGGGUAUUGCUGUUGCAAUAUUGAAGUGUGGAGCAACAAAUAGACAAUUUGAUAGCAUUGUAAGAUGUUUUCUUACUAUGGUUUUCGGCCAUUGGAUGGAUGUCGAAUAAUGAUCUGUAUUUGUGUAACAGGCGGUAGGAGGAAUUCACCCUUCUGCGGCAGAGGAAUUUGUAACUAUACGUGACAUGUGACAAGGACUAUAGUAAGUAAACAACCUAAAUAAUUCAUAAUACAAUUAUAUAUAGUAAUAUCUAGAAUGGUCUUCUUGAAUUGGUUGUGACUUAUAUUCGGUAUUAAUUUUACAUUUCUUAAAGAUAUCUUAUAAUUG